This 1072-nucleotide long non-coding RNA is filed under the name Elaeis guineensis (African oil palm). RNAcentral's name for it is "long non-coding RNA (EGUI_LNC010844)". The record is from RNAcentral. Lineage: Eukaryota; Viridiplantae; Streptophyta; Magnoliopsida; Arecales; Arecaceae.
AUUCGAGACCGGCACUACACGUUACGCCUCUUUUUCGCUAUUCUUCGUCUGCGAUUGGCUUCCUUUCCCUCAAUUCCGAUCGAGGAAAGGCGGAGAAUGGCGACUCCCGCCGCAGCUGCGAGAGACGAAGAGCCAUGGAGGAGGAAUAAGAAGAAGACGAAGACGAUGGGAGGAAAAGAGUCGGGAGGGAGGUGGCCGCAGAUCAAACGCAAGAGGGAUCUCCAAAUCAAUCGCUUCAAAGGCAACAGCCUCUUUACGGUAUAUGCCUAGGACCCCGAAUUCCUUCUUUUCUUUUCCAUCUCUUUUGAUCUCUCUGUAGUCUAGUGCUUCUAGGUUCAAAUAUUCGUCCUUUCUUUUCCUUUAGGGUUUUUUAACCCGUCAGGUUACAGAUCCUUUCGUAAUGUUUAUGAAAGGAUGAGGAAAGACUGACUACUUUUGACCAUGCAAUUACUUGUUCGAGCAUGAAUUCUUUGUUAGUAAUCUUUUUCUUUUCUUUUCUUUUUUGGGGGUUGGGGUGGGCGGCGGGGGCAAUGUGGGCGCUAAUAGAUCAUCUUAUGACGGAGCAUGAAGCGUUGAAGCGUUCUUCUUUUUAGCCCCUGCAAAUAGCAUUAGGUAACAAAACACGUAUUUGACAUAAAACAAAAGAAAGACUUAUGCAUUGAGAAAAUAAUCUCUUUAAAGAUGAUUAAAUUUUCUUAGAGUUCUUCUGCUGGGUGCUCAUAUUUCCUCUUAGUGUUUAGGUAUGCUGCCACAAUAUUAUGUGCUCCCAGAGUUACUUAGUUUGUUGGUUCAUCCUGUCUGUGUUUGGAUUCAUAAUUUGGAGUUUUCUCUUCCUCAAUGAAUUGGAUUCAUUUAGAGUACGAUUAGGUUCAUUUUUGUUUAUUAUGCUUUUAUUUUUGAUAAAAUGGUUUUGAAUCUAUCAAUAUAUACAAGGUGAAUAAUAUAGAAAUAUUUUAUGUAUGUUAAAAGGAGUUAAUUAAAUAAAUCUUCAUACGGGAUUCCUGUGUUGCUUAAAUACAGUAAAUAUCGUAGAAACCUUUCAAAUUUUACCAAUUCAUAAUUCACUUCGGAU